CUCUUUGACAGUUCGCUAACAAAACAAUUAAAUUUUCAAAGUUGAAAAAGAUCGAAUAAUUUUAUGUUAAAAACGAAAAUGGAAAACAAAGAGUAUUUUAAUUUGGUUUCUCAGUAUUUACAAAAUGAAGAGGAGCUUAUGAUUUUGAGUUCUGGUAUACUAGCAUUUUUAAAUGAAAUGCCAUCUAGCUCCAGCUAGGAAUCUUCAUCAAGGUCUGAGGAAACGGAUAAGGAGGAAAACAAUAAAUGCCAAAACUUUUGCGAAGUCUUUGAAGGCUAUGGCGAGAAUGAAUUCAAAUCGCACAUGAGAUUGCGAAGUUCGACCGUGGAAUAUUUAAUAGAGAUAUAUACAAAUAGCAUUGAGCCGAAAAAAAAUACUGGUGGAAGAUUAAUUGUACCACCUAGAAAAAAGUUGUAUAUUUAUAUUUGGUACAAGAGUAACUUUUCGGCAACUUGCUAAUUUGUUUGGAGUGUCUUCUUCAACUGCUUCGACUUUAGUAGCGAUUGUGAUGUGCUGAACACAUAGAAGACGACAAGCGACGAGCGACAUCUGUCAAAUAUUAAAAUACACGCGUUCUUAUGAGCACAGAUUUUUUGACAACAGCACGACUUCACGACAAAAGGGUUGAAGUCUUCGCUGUCGCCAAAUUAGAAAUGUUUCUAAUUUUGCCGACGACAAUGGCCGCUGUAGAGCUGCCACUAAUAUGUGAAAUGUAAAAUUAUUCAAAGUUCUAACAAGUAUGACGUUAUUUUGCCAGCAGAAACGUAAAAUAACUUUGAUAUAUCAUUUAUAAUAACAAUCGAUAAUUUAAAACAAAUAAAUCGACCAUUUUUUACAUUUUUUUAACAAAUAAUUUCACUUUAAACUAAAUAUGUAAAUUUUAUUGAAAUGAAAGAUGUUAGUACGGCAACAAUGAAAUUGCUGUUUGAUAUGUCGCUGCAGUCUUCAAUAUGUUCAAGACGCUGGCUUCAAAGCGACAUUUAUGAUCAGCCGUCGCUACGUCGUGUCGUGUCGUCGUCUUUGUGUUCAGCACUUGACUAGUUGGGUUAUAUCAAUUUCUCACGAAUACAUACGAUGCAAGAAUGAUUGAAGACAAGCUCACGACCAGAGAACGGCAUUUGCUGAAUGAAAAACAUUCGUACGCGCUCAACAGCCGAAUAAUCACACUGUUCGGAUCAGCCGAUCAAACUUGCCUGAGCUCACAUUUUCGUUGUUGAUUUUAAAUUCACUCGUGUGUGUGCGAUUUUUUGUUUCACUCCGAGUUUGUUCGGCUCGUGUUCAAUAUAAUGAUUUCGGGCGCUUGCUCAUUCGGUUCAACAAUCAUUGUUUUGAACAAGAACAACACUCAACUCGCAAAAAUCAAUUCGUAUGAUUUUACUCAUGCGCGCAGCAAGCGGCACUUUUUCUGCACAGAUGAAAUGUGAGAAGAAGAACAAGACAAGCUACAACAACAAACUGCAUAUAAAUUGUUACGGUACAUGCAGUCGUAACGCUCACAGCGUGUCGUCUUGUCGCUAAUUGUUUACUCAUAAUCGAUCAACUCAAAUUGAACCGAAUGAUGCUUUCGUCAACACAGGCUCAUUUUAUUGAACGCUGACUUUUGUUCAGUGAGUUGAAUUGAGUGAGAAAUUUUGAACCGAGGACUCAAAAUCCAAAGAAUGAUGUGUACGGCAAAUUGAGUUGAUUUUUACUCAUCACUCUGUUUUUUUCAGUGAGUUGAGUUGAAUGAAAAAGGUCGCGUAUGAGUAAAUCAAGAAAAUAGUGAUUUUUGCAGUUCUCUGCUCACGACCCACGAAUGGGAAUAGGCAACAGAUGAAUUGUCAAAUGGAAAAAGGAAAUGAAAAAUAUAGUGAACCAAAUUGAUUAAUGUGCAGAUAAAAUAUCACAAUCAUCGUAAUUCUUAAAAUCGUUAUCUGAUAAAAUGAUCGCAAAAAUGUUCAUGCACCAACAAUACCCGAACUAUCAGCCCAUUCGGCUCAAGCGCUCAAACUGGCAUUCGUGAAUGUUUUCGCUACUGAGCUAAAUUCAGCUCAAUUGCGGUAAAUUCGUGUGCUUGCUGAGUUUAUUCACGCUCGUGUUGAAGCAGCUCUACUCAGGCGUUCGCUCAUUCGGCUCAACAAUGAUCGUGUUGAAUGAAAACAAAAACACAAAAGAGCAAACUCAACGCCUAUGAGCAAACUCAAUGGGUAUGAGCAAACUCAACAAUAGAACACAAUGUGUACCAAAUUCUUAGCGCAAUGCAUGUGACGCAUAAGCUGAUCGCGAACAAAGCAUACAAAAACAAUAUAUAUACCAGAGAACUGCAAAACUCACUUCUUCCUUGAAUCAGCUCAUACGCAAAAGUUUCUAUUCACUUCCAAUCACUGAGCGAAAGUGAGCUAAACAUUUCGUGAAGUGAGCAAACGUGAGCAAAGCAUUUCGGACCGAAGGCUCACAUUGUACGCGAAUGAGCGGUGCGGCAACAUGAGCUGAUUUUUACUCAACGCUGUGUUUCGCUCAGUGAUUGGAAUUGAAUAGAAACUUUUGCGUAUGAGCUGAUUCAAGGAAAAAGUGAGUUUUGCAGUUCCCUGGUAUAGACUGCACUCAUAUCCGUAUAAAAGCUUCUAGAGAAAAUAAUGACAAUUAUUUUGAUAUAGCAUACAUCGCAACGAAAUUUCAACAAAUUAAACUCUUCUACACGUAUAGCUGUAGAAAUGCUUUUGGCUUAUCAAAAACAAGGUUUUGAAGAUUAUUACAUUUUACCGAACAAAUAUUUGUUUUGUGGUGAAUAUAACUGUUAGUGCUUGUGUUCUCCAUAAUAUAUGUAUAAUGAUGAUUUACAUAAGUAUUGAAAAUGAAGAUUUCGAAAACAGUUUACAAGAUGAGCCCCAUGAAGUUCAUCAACAAAGAAAUAGUAAUAGGCGAGAUGAAUUAUUUCAAUAUUUGCAACACCAUAACUUAAUAUAAAUAAAAACAUGAAAUUUAAAUAAAGCAAAUUCUUUUUAUUCCAAAUUGCUUUAUUAAAUUCAGUAUAUGCAUGAAGCACGAUAAAAACUUCAGGAAAUCAUUACCUUAAAGUUAUAAAAACUUAUGAAAAAUUAAUUUAAAU
Zeugodacus cucurbitae (melon fly) is the source of this 3088-nucleotide long non-coding RNA. RefSeq lists it as uncharacterized. The record is from RefSeq and is a predicted model, not a curated record. The transcript is spliced from 3 exons. Lineage: Eukaryota; Metazoa; Arthropoda; Insecta; Diptera; Tephritidae.